AGAAAAUCAAAUUUGUCGAAAAAUACAACGCCUUUUUUGUACAAUUUAAUGCAUUUUGUUGUGGAGGGUUAUAUAUUUUUGUGUGAAAUUUUAUUCAUGGAAAACAUGUUUGUUUCUAAAAAUCUAAAAAAAAUAACAAAAAAUAUUAAAUAAAAAAAGCAUUUUUUUUUAAAUAUUCACAACUUAUAUAUCGAUUUUACCCCUGCGCGGAUUUUACCUUAGAAGCUAUUUGCCACAAUCAUGAUGCCCCACAUGUACAAAAUGUGUGGUCUAGAUUGGAUUCUACAUACUAUCUCGCUUGUAGCAGUGCACGUGUAUAUUGCAUAUAGAUAUAUACACGUGUAUCAAUUUUAUCAAGAAACAGUGAUGUGAGAAUAAUCACGUUGAGUCUUGUCAAUAGGUAUUCUAGGAAAAGAUUGGGAAAAAACAUGAAUUAAAUGCAAAUUAGCUUCUAGUUUGGGAGCAACCCAUGGCCUCUUCGCUGAUAUUGUACUUGGUUGACUAGGUCAUGUACGAUUUUAAUAGGUGUAUUUGAAUUUAUGCUUGGAGUCUGUUCUCUUUCCCAACCAAUCCAGUUUUUGUUUUUCCUAUAUAACGGGGAGCUUGUCUCCCAUUUUACUACACCAAAUAAUUUUUAGCAUUGGAGAUUAAGAGCUUGGAGAAAGGAGUAAAGAGAAGAUUUUGGAGAGUUCUUUGUGGUUGGUUUUUCUUCUCCCUUUCUUCGAAUGUUCUUCGAAUAAUUUAAACAUGAGUACUCAUAGUUUAUGUCGUAUUGUGCUCUUGUAUUGCUUUGAUUUUUCAUUUGUAGAAAUAGUGUUUGAAACAUGCAUGCUUUAGUUCUAUGCAUUUACUUGUUUGUUGAAGUAUGUUGAUAUUUUUUCAAAGUAUAGAUACUACUGUAGUAGUUACUUGUACGAGUUCUUCGGGUUGACCCGAUUGAACAUUUAGUGUAUAGAUGAUACUACUUUAAAUGUUUUAUUUGUCUUUUCGUAAUGCGACAGAUGAUCUUUAUUUGUGGUAGCCGAAAUAUGCAUACUUUUCGUGGGUAGCUCGUGAUCGAGUGAACCGAUAUGUUGAAUUUCAUACUUUCUCAG
RNAcentral lists this long non-coding RNA (1094 nucleotides) under Salvia miltiorrhiza (redroot sage). RNAcentral describes it as "long non-coding RNA (SMIL_LNC002460)". Lineage: Eukaryota; Viridiplantae; Streptophyta; Magnoliopsida; Lamiales; Lamiaceae. The record is from RNAcentral.